GAAAAGAACCACAGGAAUGCCAGUAACGCGAGUGAGCGCACAGCCAAUUGAAUCUGGCGCAGUCCGAGUUGUAAUUUGUAGAGAUGCUUUGACGCGGUGCCUUCCGAGUUCCUGGAACGAGACGCCAUAGAGGGUGAGAGCCCCGUACGGUCGGACACAUAGCCUCUGUAAAGCUCCUUCGACGAGUCGAGUAGUUUGGGAAUGCUGCUCAAAAUGGGAGGUAUAUUUCUUCUAAAGCUAAAUACCGGCCAGAGACCGAUAGCGCACAAGUAGAGUGAUCGAAAGAUGAAAAGCACUUUGAAAAGAGGGUUAAACAGCACGUGAAAUUGUUAAAAGGGAAGCGCUUGUGACCAGACUUGCGCCCGGCGAAUCAUCCAGCGUUCUCGCUGGUGCACUUCGCCGGCUCAGGCCAGCAUCAGCUCGCUGUCGGGGACAAAAGCUUCGGGAACGUAGCUCCUCUCGGGGAGUGUUAUAGCCCGUUGCACAAUACCCUUCGGCGGGCUGAGGUACGCGCUCCGCAAGGAUGCUGGCAUAAUGGUCAUCAGCGACCCGUCUUGAAACACGGACCAAGGAGUCAACCUUAUGUGCGAGUGUUUGGGUGUUAAACCCCUACGCGUAAUGAAAGUGAACGUAGGUGAGAGCUUCGGCGCAUCAUCGACCGAUCCUGAUGUUCUCGGAUGGAUUUGAGUAAGAGCAUAUAGGGUUGGACCCGAAAGAAGAUGAACUAUGCGUGUAUAGGGUGAAGCCAGAGGAAACUCUGGUGGAGGCUCGCAGCGGUUCUGACGUGCAAAUCGAUCGUCAAAUAUGCGUCAAGGGGGCGAAAGACUAAUCGAUCCCUACUUGGGC
RNAcentral lists this ribosomal RNA (846 nucleotides) under Malaysiasca phaii. RNAcentral describes it as "partial large subunit ribosomal RNA". It matches the Rfam family "Eukaryotic large subunit ribosomal RNA", at positions 56 to 951 of the family's 3401-position model. The record is from RNAcentral. Lineage: Eukaryota; Fungi; Ascomycota; Sordariomycetes; Glomerellales.